RNAcentral lists this transfer RNA (74 nucleotides) under Trueperaceae bacterium. Its description in RNAcentral is "tRNA-Gln". It matches the Rfam family "tRNA". Rfam says of the family: Transfer RNA (tRNA) molecules are approximately 80 nucleotides in length. The record is from RNAcentral. Lineage: Bacteria; Thermotogati; Deinococcota; Deinococci; Trueperales; Trueperaceae.
UGGCCCAUCGUCUAAUGGCAGGACAACGGAUUCUGGUUCCGUCGGUCUAGGUUCGAGUCCUAGUGGGCCAGCCA